RNAcentral lists this long non-coding RNA (1629 nucleotides) under Malus domestica (apple). RNAcentral's name for it is "long non-coding RNA (MDOM_LNC001837)". The record is from RNAcentral. Lineage: Eukaryota; Viridiplantae; Streptophyta; Magnoliopsida; Rosales; Rosaceae.
CCAUGAGACAUACGGCGUAAAAUCUUCGGCACGUAUUUUGUGUAUGAUUUUUUUGUGAUAAAGUUAACAUGUAUCAAUUAAAUCGUUUGCUCAAAAAAAAAAAAAAAAGGGAAAAAGAAAUUAACACGUGUCAAUCAAUGCUAGAUAUUACACACACAAAUAAAAGCAGAAGAUUUAAUCUCGAGAUAUGCAAAGUUAGGCGUGGAAACUCUUUCACCAACCUCAAUCUCUCUCUCUUUCUCACACAUACACAUACACACACACUUUUGUGUAAAAGGUUCCGCUUAUUGGGGGAAUUUUAUGUAUUUUUCCCUGCCAUUUGAUGCUUUUGCAAUUUGCACUAUUUGCUAAAGAUUAUGAGGCAAUUGAGUGUGUGAACACCAUAGUGAACCCACACCCACAAAAGAAAAGAGUGAGUGUAAAAACCCAAUAUUUGAAAAUGAUCAUGAUGGAAUGAAUGAACCAAUGACCAAAAUAGAGACAAAGAACAUGAGAUGAUGAUUGUGUACAUGUUUCAAGUGCACCUACCAAUUAAUUGGUGGAAGCUUAUCCCCUUCUAUGUUAAUAAUAAUGGAUUUGGAUCCCAUCCGGAUCUAAAUUAUGGAGAUUCUAGAAAUUCUCACAUCUUAACUAUUCAUCGUGCAUUGUGCAGUAAAAAAUCAUUUAACUUUUUUUAUUUAAAAUUAAACACAAAUAGUACCUGACAAAAACUGGUCUCACGAUGUACGAUGAACGACUAAGAUGUGGGAAUCCUUAGGAUCCCUACAAAGUAGAUCCGGAGAGGAUCCUCUUCCAAUAAUAAUAUGGAUAAAUUAAACAAAACUAUCUCAAAUAUGAGUGGAACCACAAUGUUAUAUUGGAGUGAGUCUAUAUUUUAGGAGAAAAAGAAUGUAAAUAUUUUGUAAUUAUUAGAGUCUUGUUUUAGGAAGGAUAUUGUGUCCUUUAUUAUUUCCUUUUGUAACAAGGAUUGUAUGUAUUUUUAUUCAAGAUUGUGGAAUACAGAAAAGUUAAGCCGUAAAAUUCUAUUUGGCAUUAGAGCCAAGUUUUCCGUAACCCUAGAAACUGUAAAACAAUUUAUUUUCUUCCACUGCUGUGUUCAGUCGACUUGUUCGUGUGCUAAUUGUUACAGAAAUCGGUCAGGUCGUGUAUAUUGGAUUUGCAGCAGUGUGAUCUUGCUGCUACUGUGUGUGGUGUUGUGCUUUUGCAAUUGUGCCAUGUAUUGGUGUGUUUGUUUUACAAUUGCUGCUGCUUGUAAUCGCGGUUCGUAAUUACUGUGAUAUCUGCUCGUGUAAGAGCUACAGACGUGGAUUUUUGCUGCUGCCGUGUAAUGUUGUGUUGCAGUCUGUAGCUGCACUAUUCCCGGUAAACACGUAUGAUUGCUGUGCGCGCAAUGGGUAAUUAUCCUUAGGUAAUUGCCUUUGGUUUUUUAUACCGUGAUUUGGCUACUGCUGGUGAUAAAAAAAUAAAAAGGGAUUUGAUGCUUCUUGCUGCAUGAUUGCAGCAUGUAAAUCUGUUGGCCAAAGCAAGAAAAAGAAAAAGGGGAUUUUGCUGCUCUUGCGGCUGAUGUGAAAAAUAAGUUAACACACAAAUUAAACCCUCUUUUUAUCAAUUGUAGUAAAGUAUGUAAGU